This is a non-coding RNA of Heligmosomoides polygyrus, 71 nucleotides long. The record is from Rfam. NCBI's taxonomy places the organism in Eukaryota, Metazoa, Nematoda, Chromadorea, Rhabditida, Heligmosomidae.
GCACCGGUGGUGUAAGGCGAAUAUCACUGCUCGGAAAGCAGAAGAUGCGGGUUCGAGUCCCGCCUGGCGCG